GACGAACGCUGGCGGCGCGCCUAACACAUGCAAGUCGAACGAGCGAGAGGAGGUUUACUUUCUCAAGCGAGUGGCGAACGGGUGAGUAACGCGUGAGGAACCUGCCUCAAAGAGGGGGACAACAGUUGGAAACGACUGCUAAUACCGCAUAAGCCCACGACCCGGCAUCGGGUAGAGGGAAAAGGAGCAAUCCGCUUUGAGAUGGCCUCGCGUCCGAUUAGCUAGUUGGUGAGGUAAUGGCCCACCAAGGCGACGAUCGGUAGCCGGACUGAGAGGUUGAACGGCCACAUUGGGACUGAGACACGGCCCAGACUCCUACGGGAGGCAGCAGUGGGGAAUAUUGCACAAUGGGGGAAACCCUGAUGCAGCGACGCCGCGUGGAGGAAGAAGGUCUUCGGAUUGUAAACUCCUGUUGUUGAGGAAGAUAAUGACGGUACUCAACAAGGAAGAGACGGCUAACUACGUG
This 466-nucleotide ribosomal RNA is filed under the name uncultured bacterium. RNAcentral describes it as "partial 16S ribosomal RNA". It matches the Rfam family "Bacterial small subunit ribosomal RNA", at positions 28 to 507 of the family's 1533-position model. The record is from RNAcentral.